AGAACGAACGCUGGCGGCAUGCCUAACACAUGCAAGUCGAACGAAGGCUUCGGCCUUAGUGGCGCACGGGUGCGUAACGCGUGGGAACCUGCCCCUCGGUUCGGAAUAACAGUUAGAAAUGACUGCUAAUACCGGAUGAUGACUUCGGUACCAAAGAUUUAUCGCCGAGGGAUGGGCCCGCGUAGGAUUAGCUUGUUGGUGGGGUAAUGGCCUACAAGGCGACGAUCUUUAGCUGGUCUGAGAGGAUGAUCAGCCACACUGGGACUGAGACACGGCCCAGACUCCGUACGGGAGGCAGCAGGUGGGGAAUAUUGGACAAGUGGGGCGAAAGCCUGAUCCAGGCAAUGGCCGCGUGAGUGAUGAACGGUCGUUAAGGUUGUAA
This 382-nucleotide ribosomal RNA is filed under the name uncultured soil bacterium. RNAcentral describes it as "bacterial SSU rRNA". It matches the Rfam family "Bacterial small subunit ribosomal RNA", at positions 26 to 428 of the family's 1533-position model. The record is from RNAcentral.